CCUGCUGAAAACCAGCUACGACUUUUAACAACUGUUCAGAGGAGAACAUUUCCUGGUUCAGUUGUGUUGUAUUCACGCUGUGCCAGAAAUAUCUCAGGACGGGCGACAGAGACAGACGACUGUGUUUUUACCCGAAGCAGAGCUGAUUGGCCGGUAAAAGCAGCCGUUGAUGGACAUGGAUAGAAAAUCUCUUAACUCGACAGGAACCCCCACAGAAAAUGUGAAAACCCGCAAUAUACUGGUAGAAAUGGGUUUGUGGCUCCCGUGAAAAUCACUGAUCGAUCUGGGGCUGAAUCAUCAUUUGUCUUUCAGGAUAUCUACAUGCUGUCCCUCUGGUCAGUGUGAAGAAGCAGUGGCACGACAGAAGGCAGAGACCGGAUGAUCAACAAAGAACUCGGGGUCUGUUCGGUCGAGGAUCAAACAAAUGAUUUCAAGUCUCCAUCUAAUCCUAGUUCACAGUUACAGUUUUGCUGUACAGACUCAUAUUCCCAAGUGUCUUGGUGUUCUUGCUUGACAGUUGAUGACAUUUAUGGAUAUAAGACAUGAAUCCAAAAACGACAAGGCAGUGUUUUGAGUUUCAAAAAGAGCUCAAAGUGACUGUUUCUGUACAUAGGACUACAAACAUGAACAGACAAACACACAAACAAACGGCAAAUCUCAGGAGCAUAAAAGGCUGCCUAGUAAUUCAAAGCGACAGCCUCAUGAUUACAGCCCCAGAAAUAUCUCAA
This is a long non-coding RNA of Pleuronectes platessa (European plaice), 728 nucleotides long. RefSeq lists it as uncharacterized. The transcript has 3 exons. The record is from RefSeq and is a predicted model, not a curated record. NCBI's taxonomy places the organism in Eukaryota, Metazoa, Chordata, Actinopteri, Pleuronectiformes, Pleuronectidae.